This 774-nucleotide ribosomal RNA is filed under the name uncultured Neocallimastigales. Its description in RNAcentral is "partial large subunit ribosomal RNA". It matches the Rfam family "Eukaryotic large subunit ribosomal RNA", at positions 18 to 644 of the family's 3401-position model. Lineage: Eukaryota; Fungi; Neocallimastigomycota; Neocallimastigomycetes; Neocallimastigales. The record is from RNAcentral.
UCAGACGAUGCGUCAUGCAUAUCAAUAAGCGGAGGAAAAGAAACUAACAAGGAUUCCCCUAGUAACGGCGAGUGAAGCGGGAAGAGCUCAAAUUUGAAAUCUUAAAGGGUUUCCCUUUACGAAUUGUAGUUUAAAGAAGUGUUUUCUGUUGAGGUUUUGGUAAAAGUUCUUUGGAAUAGGACAUCAUAGAGGGUGAGAAUCCCGUAUUUGACCUUUACUUUCAACUUUGUGAUACACUUUCAAAGAGUCGGAUUGUUUGGGAAUGCAGUCCAAAGUGGGUGGUAAAUUUCAUCUAAAGCUAAAUAUUGGCGAGAGACCGAUAGCGAACAAGUACCGUGAGGGAAAGAUGAAAAGAACUUUGAAAAGAGAGUUAAACAGUACGUGAAAUUGUCAAAAGGGAAGCGUUUGACACCAGUGUUGUUUUUCUGAAAAUCAAUUAAAGAACUGUUUAUGCUAAGUUGUUUAGACUUUAUCAGCUAUCUGUUUAGUUUUGAGCUUUUCUUUAAUGCACUUUUCAGUUAACAAGUCAACAUCAAUUUCUUUUGCUGUAAAAAAGCUUGAGGAAGGUGGCUUGAGAUUCGUCUUAAGUGUUUAUAGCCUCUUGCCUAUGCAGUCGGAGAGAUUGAGGUCUGCAGCGUAGAUCCUUCGGGGCUAAAUGCAUUUGUGCUAAGUUAUAGCAUUUUAUAGACAACUUGUUGACUAUGAUUUGUCUUGUAGCUUACUCGCUUAUGUUAUUUUACCUACGCUUAGGAUGUUGAAUCUGUGCGAGACUAC